GACAGAGGGUGCAAACGUUGUUCGGAUUUACUGGGCGUAAAGCGCGUGUAGGCGGCUUUGCAAGUCGGAUGUGAAAUCCCACGGCUCAACCGUGGAAGUGCAUCCGAAACUGCAUCGCUGGAGUCUCGGAGAGGAAGGUGGAAUGCUUGGUGUAGAGGUGAAAUUCGUAGAUAUCAACAGAACACCUGCGGCGAAGGCGGCCUCUGGACGAUGACUGACGCUGAGACGCGAAAGCGUGGGGAGCAAACAGG
RNAcentral lists this ribosomal RNA (251 nucleotides) under uncultured bacterium. RNAcentral describes it as "partial 16S ribosomal RNA". It matches the Rfam family "Bacterial small subunit ribosomal RNA", at positions 524 to 776 of the family's 1533-position model. The record is from RNAcentral.